CCGCGGUCCUCGAGCCGGCGUCCCUCUGGGUACUUGAGGAGAGGCUGUCUGUGAUGAGUUCGCUUUAUUAAUGACGAAUAUAACACAGAUGGCCUGUUUUCAGUGCCACCCGCGACGCG
Dasypus novemcinctus (nine-banded armadillo) is the source of this 119-nucleotide microRNA precursor. The record is from Ensembl. NCBI's taxonomy places the organism in Eukaryota, Metazoa, Chordata, Mammalia, Cingulata, Dasypodidae.